ACUACAGUCCAGAGGCUCUUCUAAAGUUCUUCUUUUUCAUCAUUGUUUGUUUUUAAAUGGUUUAAUGCUGCCUCUAAUUGCCAAGUGCUAAAAUAUGAAUCUUCACACCUCUGAGUCAUCAACUUAACCAAGCUGCAGCUUCAACUUCAGAGAACUUCCUGGGAGUAAAGUGAACUGUGCCCACAGAAUAAGAGAUGAGGAAGUUACUAUUGUUAUGCAUUUCCCAGAAGACCUUGAUGCAACCUGUUACCUGAAAGGCACCUAAGAGAGCCUCAUUUGAAUGUCUGCCACCUCCUUCCACAUUCUGCCUUAAAACUCUUACAAGUUGCAGAGUCGUGGCUUCAACAGCAGCAACCUCUCCUGUUUGCUUUACCCGAUGAAGAGUUCUGGAGAACUCAAAAGCUUGCACACUUUUUUUGUGAUGUAGAGUGGCCUAAUGAAGUCCAAAAAUCUCCAAGCAACUGUCGGGUGCACAAAAGAGAAAAAUAAACAAGUGAAAAUCAAUGAAUUUGCUGAAAUGGAAGCCAGAAAAGUGCAAUUAAAAUAAUUAUUUUCAUUUAUAAAUACAUGUCAAUGAUCUUGUAUACUUCUUGUGUACACAAAAAUUAUUUAUAAACAAUUGUUAUAUUGUA
This is a long non-coding RNA of Rhineura floridana, 632 nucleotides long. RefSeq lists it as uncharacterized. NCBI's taxonomy places the organism in Eukaryota, Metazoa, Chordata, Lepidosauria, Squamata, Rhineuridae. The record is from RefSeq and is a predicted model, not a curated record. The transcript is spliced from 3 exons.